UCAGAGCCGUCUGGAGAGCCAUCACGCCAUGUGAUGCACCGAAGGAGCAAGCCCUGUUGCGGGUGCAACGGGCGAAUCUCUCAGGUACCGAGGACAGGGGGAGCGGC
Molecule: non-coding RNA, 107 nt
Filed under: Variovorax sp.
Lineage: Bacteria; Pseudomonadati; Pseudomonadota; Betaproteobacteria; Burkholderiales; Comamonadaceae
Description: Glycine sequence
Rfam family: Glycine riboswitch aptamer
About the family: This family represents the bacterial glycine riboswitch. Glycine riboswitches usually consist of two metabolite-binding aptamers domains with similar structures in tandem.
Source: RNAcentral